This 52-nucleotide ribosomal RNA is filed under the name Cortinarius piceidisjungendus. RNAcentral describes it as "partial 28S ribosomal RNA". Lineage: Eukaryota; Fungi; Basidiomycota; Agaricomycetes; Agaricales; Cortinariaceae. The record is from RNAcentral. RNAcentral also lists the same sequence under 2 other names.
AUGUGACCUCAAAUCAGGUAGGACUACCCGCUGAACUUAAGCAUAUCAAUAA